This 750-nucleotide ribosomal RNA is filed under the name uncultured bacterium. RNAcentral's name for it is "bacterial SSU rRNA". It matches the Rfam family "Bacterial small subunit ribosomal RNA", at positions 41 to 758 of the family's 1533-position model. The record is from RNAcentral.
GGGGAGGCUAAUCAUGCAGUCGAGCGAGCUUGCCUAGAUGAUUUUAGUGCUUGCACUAAAUGAAACUAGAUACAAGCGAGCGGCGGACGGGUGAGUAACACGUGGGUAACCUGCCCAAGAGACUGGGAUAACACCUGGAAACAGAUGCUAAUACCGGAUAACAACACUAGACGCAUGUCUAGAGUUUGAAAGAUGGUUCUGCUAUCACUCUUGGAUGGACCUGCGGUGCAUUAGCUAGUUGGUAAGGUAACGGCUUACCAAGGCAAUGAUGCAUAGCCGAGUUGAGAGACUGAUCGGCCACAUUGGGACUGAGACACGGCCCAAACUCCUACGGGAGGCAGCAGUAGGGAAUCUUCCACAAUGGGCGAAAGUCUGAUGGAGCAACGCCGCGUGAGUGAAGAAGGGUUUCGGCUCGUAAAGCUCUGUUGGUAGUGAAGAAAGAUAGAGGUAGUAACUGGCCUUUAUUUGACGGUAAUUACUUAGAAAGUCAACGCUAACUACGUGCCAGCAGCCGCGGUAAUACGUAGGUGGGCAGCGUUGUCCGGAUUUAUUGGGCGUNAAGCGAGUGCAAGCGGUUCAAUUAGUCUGAAGUGAAAGCCUUCGGCCUCACCCGGAAAUUGCUUCAAAAAUUGUUAAAUUUGAUUGCAAAAAAGGAAAUGGAACUCAUGUGUUACCGGGGAAAGGGUAAAUAAUGGGAAAAAACCAGUGGCGAAGGGGGUCUUCGGUUCUGCAAUGACCCAAAGCCCAAAA